This 301-nucleotide ribosomal RNA is filed under the name uncultured bacterium. RNAcentral describes it as "partial 16S ribosomal RNA". It matches the Rfam family "Bacterial small subunit ribosomal RNA", at positions 509 to 809 of the family's 1533-position model. The record is from RNAcentral.
CAGUCGCCGCGGUAAUACGAAGGGGGCUAGCGUUGUUCGGAUUUACUGGGCGUAAAGGGUGCGUAGGCGGAUUGUUAAGUCAGGGGUGAAAUGCCGGGGCUCAACCUCGGAACUGCCUUUGAUACUGGCGAUCUUGAGUCCGGGAGAGGUGAGUGGAACUGCGAGUGUAGAGGUGAAAUUCGUAGAUAUUCGCAAGAACACCAGUGGCGAAGGCGGCUCACUGGCCCGGAACUGACGCUGAGGCACGACAGCGUGGGGAGCAAACAGGAUUAGAUACCCGGGUAGUCCCUGUCUCUUAUAA